GAGACUCGGCCUUUUCCGCCCGGGGAGCGCUGUGCUGAGGUGGACGCAGGCUGUGCGCCAAAAUGAUAAUUGGGCCGGAACGGACUGGCUUUCCAAAGAUGCAGGGGACUCGAGAAGCUUGUUGGGUCGCUAGGGCAGGGUCAGCUUUGAGAACCUUCCGGCUGGCAAGCGUGGCCGGCCUGAGGGGCCCCGUAGGUCACGGGACGGCCGCGUGCGGCCCCGGGCCCUAAACCCCGGCGCGCCUGGGCCGUGGCCCGGGGGACGGUUCCGUGCAGCUGCUGCCCGCGGCGAAGGUCGUUAGUUCCGCCGUCGGUGUCGUGUGGCCGUCCUGAGUGUCACCGUCAAUUAGCGUCCGCACCCCGAGAACCGCCGGUUGGACCCCGAAGGAAGCGGAGCUCGUUCUGAUGGGUGAUGGGAAGAUGACAAGAUGCCAAGUCCGUAGUGACGGUGAGUGAAGCCUUAUCGCAUGUCCUGCCGUGGAUUAUACCAAAAUUUCUCAGUCCUACUUGGAGGAACAGCUGUUUCCGGUGAUGUUCUGGAAACUACCAGGGCACCAACUUUAAAUAAAGGCCUGAGUUUUUUAGAGGGGAUUCCUUGAUAAUUAAAUAAAAUGCUUAAUUCAUGUGGAAA
This is a long non-coding RNA of Lemur catta (Ring-tailed lemur), 630 nucleotides long. RefSeq lists it as uncharacterized. The transcript has 3 exons. The record is from RefSeq and is a predicted model, not a curated record. NCBI's taxonomy places the organism in Eukaryota, Metazoa, Chordata, Mammalia, Primates, Lemuridae.